UACGGAGGAUCCGAGCGUUAUCCGGAUUUAUUGAGUUUAAAGGGUGCGUAGGCGGCCUGUUAAGUCAGGGGUGAAAUACGGUGGCUCAACCAUCGCAGUGCCUUUGAUACUGAUGGGCUUGAAUCCAUAUGAAGUGGGCGGAAUAAGACAAGUAGCGGUGAAAUGCAUAGAUAUGUCUUAGAACUCCGAUUGCGAAGGCAGCUCACUAAGCUGGUAUUGACGCUGAUGCACGAAAGCGUGGGGAUCGAACAGG
Molecule: ribosomal RNA, 253 nt
Filed under: uncultured bacterium
Lineage: Bacteria
Description: partial 16S ribosomal RNA
Rfam family: Bacterial small subunit ribosomal RNA
Source: RNAcentral